AACCCCUGGUUGCAACUCGUGGUCACAACAGCGGUCACGUCGCCUCCCCAAUCCCCCUCACCUCGCAUCUCCUCAUCUCCUGCCUGUCGCCAUCCCCAUCGCCACCUCCCUUCAGCGCCGGGCACCGGCUCGCCUCCCUCCAUCGCCGCCUUUCCCGUGUUUCCUUCAGUUCCCCGUCGCCGCCUCCCUCCUCCACUGCUUCGCAGCCACCGCGGCACCGCCGGCCAGAGCCUCGAGUUCCCAUCCGCCCCAACUUGACGAGUUGACGGACGCCAUCCUCCUCCAGAUCUGCCGCUGCCACCUCGCCCCCCCGACACCUCUGACCCCCUUCUCCGCGCAAGGUUAGCAGAACUCCAUCCCAUCGAGAGCGAGACGCGUUCAGGCAAGGUGACCAAGGCGCGGCAGGCGAGGAAGAACGACAAGGCGCGGCGACGGGGGCGCGGAGCAGGGAGCCUGUGAGCAGAGCAAUGAUCCCAGUCAACAAGCAAUGGCUCGAGACUUUCUUGCUGUCCCGUUGAGCACAUUAUCUUCAGAAUCGGCAUUCAGCUGUGGUGGCAGAAUUCUGGGGGAUUAUCGAAGCUCAAUGAAGCCAGAAAUGGUCGAGGCACUGGUUUGUAGUAAAGAUUGGUUGACUGAACUUCCGGAGAACGAAGGUAAAGACCCAAUGGUGAUUGUCGCCUAGAUCUUUGAUCUCCAUCAAUGCCUACAGGUUCUACAGUGGUGCUGUUAAAGAAAGCCAAGGGAGAAAGAAGUGUCAUCUGAAGAGGAAGAAGGGCCUGUAAAGACAUCUAUUGGGAAGAAGCCCAGGAGGAUCCUUAACUAGUUGCUCCCGUUUUCCAUGGGCUGCUUCCGUGCUGAGCCCCCCCCCCCCCCGCUGAUUCAACAUCCUGAACUAGCAGUCUCAGUAGCACCUCUAAUGUUUUUCAAUUAAUCAUUUUUUUCUGGAAUACGUCAGCUAUCAUCGUUUAUAGCAAGGGCUGCAGAGCAGCAAGUUAGAUACUCCGUACAUUUUUUGUGUGCUGAUUCAACAUCCUGAACCAGCAAGUUAGAUACAUGUUCGGUGUCACUUCAUUGCUCAUAUGCUCUGUUAUAUUCGUGAUGUUUGUGUUA
Brachypodium distachyon (stiff brome) is the source of this 1110-nucleotide long non-coding RNA. RefSeq lists it as uncharacterized. The record is from RefSeq and is a predicted model, not a curated record. The transcript is spliced from 5 exons. NCBI's taxonomy places the organism in Eukaryota, Viridiplantae, Streptophyta, Magnoliopsida, Poales, Poaceae.